AGUGAACGCUGGCGGUAGGCCUAACACAUGCAAGUCGAACGGCAGCACAGGAGAGCUUGCUCUCUGGGUGGCGAGUGGCGGACGGGUGAGGAAUACAUCGGAAUCUACUCUGUCGUGGGGGAUAACGUAGGGAAACUUACGCUAAUACCGCAUACGACCUACGGGUGAAAGCAGGGGACCUUCGGGCCUUGCGCGAUUGAAUGAGCCGAUGUCGGAUUAGCUAGUUGGCGGGGUAAAGGCCCACCAAGGCGACGAUCAGUAGCUGGUCUGAGAGGAUGAUCAGCCACACUGGAACUGAGACACGGUCCAGACUCCUAUGGGAGUCAGCAGUGGGGAAUAUUGGACAAUGGGCGCAAGCCUGAUCCAGCCAUACCGCGUGGGUGAAGAAGGCCUUCGGGUUGUAAAGCCCUUUUGUUGGGAAAGAAAUCCAGCUGGCUAAUACCCGGUUGGGAUGACGGUACCCAAAGAAUAAGCACCGGCUAACUUCGUGCCAGCCGCCGCCGUAA
This 506-nucleotide ribosomal RNA is filed under the name uncultured bacterium. RNAcentral describes it as "partial 16S ribosomal RNA". It matches the Rfam family "Bacterial small subunit ribosomal RNA", at positions 29 to 523 of the family's 1533-position model. The record is from RNAcentral.